RNAcentral lists this ribosomal RNA (497 nucleotides) under uncultured bacterium. Its description in RNAcentral is "partial 16S ribosomal RNA". It matches the Rfam family "Bacterial small subunit ribosomal RNA", at positions 28 to 507 of the family's 1533-position model. The record is from RNAcentral.
GAUGAACGCUGGCGGCGUGCCUAAUACAUGCGAGUCGAGCGAACGGACGAGAAGCUUGCUUCUCUGAUGUUAGCGGCGGACGGGUGAGUAACACGUGGAUAACCUACCUAUAAGACUGGGAUAACUUCGGGAAACCGGAGCUAAUACCGGAUAAUAUUUUGAACCGCAUGGUUCAAAAGUGAAAGACGGUCUUGCUGUCACUUAUAGAUGGAUCCGCGCUGCAUUAGCUAGUUGGUAAGGUAACGGCUUAGCAAGGCAACGAUGCAUAGCCGACCUGAGAGGGUGAUCGGCCACACUGGAACUGAGACACGGUCCAGACUCCUACGGGAGGCAGCAGUAGGGAAUCUUCCGCAAUGGGCGAAAGCCUGACGGAGCAACGCCGCGUGAGUGAUGAAGGUCUUCGGAUCGUAAAACUCUGUUAUUAGGGAAGAACAUAUGUGUAAGUAACUGUGCACAUCUUGACGGUACCUAAUCAGAAAGCCACGGCUAACUACGUG